RNAcentral lists this long non-coding RNA (650 nucleotides) under Zea mays. RNAcentral's name for it is "long non-coding RNA (ZMAY_LNC003037)". Lineage: Eukaryota; Viridiplantae; Streptophyta; Magnoliopsida; Poales; Poaceae. The record is from RNAcentral.
ACAGCUCCACAGCGCUGCGGGGAACCCGUGCCCCGGUCAAGAACCUUCCAGAAUUGUGCCACAAUCGUCAAAGGGCAACUUCGUCGUGGUCCCUGGAAAGACAGACUACCCAUCGAAGGAAUGUGCGUCCGCAACCCUGUGUGGGUCGAUCAAGAAGCACCUACUAGACCAUUUCCACAAGAAACCUGUGCCACCAAAGCCAAAGCCAGAACCUAAGCCAGAGCUGGAGCCGAAGCCAGAACCUAAGCCAGAGCCAGAGAACCACCCACCUACACCAACAUACGGAUCCUCAACUCCGAUCUACCAUCCUCCAUCCAGGCAGUUGUUUGACAAGAAACACAUGUUUGAUAACUUCCACAAGCACCACGACUACCAUCACUUCUUUGACCACUUCCACAAGAAACCAGUUCCACCAAAGCCAAAACCAGAACCUAAGCCAGAACCAAAACCCAAGCCCCAGCCAGAGUACCACUCUCCAACUCCAACAUAUGGGUCGCCCACACCGAUCUACCACCCUCCGGCUAGGCAUUUGUUUGAUAAGAAGCCCUUGCUAGAUCACUUCCAUAAGGACCAUGACUAUCACCACUUCUUAGACCACUUCCACAAGAAACCCGUGCCACAAAAGCCAAAGCUAGAACCCAAGCCACAGC